Molecule: non-coding RNA, 387 nt
Organism: Pogona vitticeps (central bearded dragon)
Lineage: Eukaryota; Metazoa; Chordata; Lepidosauria; Squamata; Agamidae
Source: RefSeq, a predicted model, not a curated record
AGGCAACAUGCAAUGUGAAGCAAUCUUUUUUCAACGACUGGAUAACAGGACAUCUCAAUUUUCAAAUUGAACACCACCUGUUUCCUACAAUGCCUCGACACAACUUCUGGAAGGUGGCCCCCUUGGUCAAGGCAAUGUGUGCCAAACAUGGGAUAGACUACCAGACCAAACCCCUGUUCACUGGCUUUGCAGAUAUUGUGCAUUCCCUGAAGGAUGCAGGAGAGAUCUGGCUCAAUGCAUAUAAUCAUGGAUAAGAAGAAUAUGCUCCACCUACCCACCCAAGCUGUCACAGUUGGAAGUGUCUGGGUGCAACUCAGCUUACACUCAAGAAGAUUUGUGUCUUUGUAUGGGGACGAAUAAAAACGGAUAACCUCCUCAGGUUUCCUA